Gopherus evgoodei (Goodes thornscrub tortoise) is the source of this 368-nucleotide long non-coding RNA. RefSeq lists it as uncharacterized. The record is from RefSeq and is a predicted model, not a curated record. NCBI's taxonomy places the organism in Eukaryota, Metazoa, Chordata, Testudines, Testudinidae. The transcript has 3 exons.
ACAAGAAGGGUUUCUGCAGAUAUGUUAGCAACAAGAAGGAGGUCAGGGGAAGUGUGGGACCCGUACUGAAUGGGGGAGGCAACCUAGUAACAGAUGAUGUGAAAAAAGUGGAAGUACUCAAUGCCUUUUUUUGCCUCUGUCAUCACAGACAAGGUCAGCUCCCAGACUGCAGCACUGGGCAACACGGUUUGAGGAGGAGGUGAGCAGCCCUCAGUGGAGAAAGAAGUGGUUCAGGACUAUUUAGAAAAGCUGAAGGUGCACAAGUUCAUGGGUCCAGAUCUAAUGCAUCCAAGGUUGCUGAGGGAGUUAGCUGAUAUGAUUGCAGAUCCACUGGCCAUUAUCUUUGAAAAUUUAUGGCAAUCAGGAGA